This is a non-coding RNA of Lactuca sativa (garden lettuce), 1795 nucleotides long. The record is from RefSeq and is a predicted model, not a curated record. Lineage: Eukaryota; Viridiplantae; Streptophyta; Magnoliopsida; Asterales; Asteraceae.
AUACAGCUCAACUAGACAUAAAUAGACCACGAAUUGGUCCUUACUAAAAUUGGAUCUCGCCUAAAUUUUGUCUUGUGCGCCUUUCACUUCUCUACUUUAGAAACCCUAAUCUCAAACAUCAUCAAGCAGCACUCUGCUUUGUGUCUUCCUCUCUGCAUCGAUGUAUCUCUUUCUUUCAACAUUAAAUCAGACUUGAUUCAAACACCACUCACAACCUCCAGACUACUAAUCAUCGCUAUCGAACACCUUUUACCACCAGCACACCAUCAAAUAAAGACUGCAGCUUCACCACUUUCGCCCUUCAUUUCUCUCUAAAAUACCCCAAACCAACGUUGGCUUCAUCACUAGCUGCUUGAAAUAGGUGUCACCCUCUGUGUCUCUUUCAUUUGUUAUCAUUGCUCCUCUCAAAUGAUGGCCAAAAGCAGUCUAUAAAAAAAGCCUUCACACAAACAAUCUUCCACCGUCUCUAAUUCACUUCUAAAGAAUUCCAUUCAGAAGUAAUUUUUUCCGAAGACCUCUACAAGAUCCUAUUUUCUUUUAACCAAUUCAAGGUAUGUGUCUUUUGUUUCCAGUUUUAUCCAGACCACAAUAAGCAACCUUCCUCACGUCUAUCAUAUCUCCCCACCAACCUACGUUCCCACUUUCAAAAUCCAUCGACGAUCUUGAGAGUUGAUGCCUUUUUUCAUUUGGUGGUGUUUGGUGUCAUGUGUGCGUGUGUAAUGUUUUCUGCUAUUUGAUGGUGCCUCCCUCACAAAAUCUGAAUAGCCAUCUUCACCAAUUGUAAACAAGAAAAAAUGAAAUCAACUGGAAAGAUAGAGGAAGAAGUUGGUGUUUUUUUUUUCUAUGAUUAUGUUUGCUAGAAAACUACACGCUUCAUACUUUGAACAUGCUUUUGCUUCCAACACUGAACAUUUUCCAUAUGAUAAGAUGCCAACAUUUUCUCCCAACCAACGCCUAACACAUUAUAAUUCCCCCAAAUUCCAAUUCAUUUUACUAAUUAAUUUCAUCACUUACUAACUCGUUGAUUGGCUUGAAGGUUCAUAUUGGUAUAACUUCGUGGGUGAGAGGGGAUAAUCAACUUGAAUGGCCACUACAUCCUCAAGUCUUCUUUCUAUAUCUCUAAAUAUAGAGAAAAAGAACUUUGUGAUUUAUUUAUGUGUAAUAACCUUGCUUAUAACCAAUAUAAUUUUUAUGCGUUUUUAUAUUAAAAAAAAUCAUUUUUUGACCUAUCCUUUUGGCAGGAGGCAACUUGUGGAUUACUGUAAAUUUCAUAUGAGAUAGCAAAAGAAGUUGUUGCUGUCAAAAGUGCUCAAUAUAUUGUUGAAGCCAAACCCCAGUCACAUAGUUCGUGGACCGCUCGGGUACGGGAACGAGGACCUGGAACAUUGUUCGCUAGGUUGGAUGUAUCGGGUACAGUUGGGGUAGGUCCAUUUCGGUACGUCCCAGUUUUUGGGAAGCCAACGAUUGGAUCGUAGAUCAUGGCAUGUUCGGCGAAUUCUGUGACCAUGGCUUUGGCAAGGCAGUUUUUAACGAUUUUAUCUUUAAAGAUGAUUCCUUUAGCUUACUUAUAUGUCUUCUGGUGUUGCCCUUGCUGUGUAAUACAGGGGAGGUUUGCAUUAACUGAAAAAUAUAUCAAAAGUAUUUGCAUUGUUAGAAAUAAGUUGUGAUUCGCUUUAGAUGCCCUUUUAAAGGUAUCUAUAAUAAAAGUUGUAAUUGACAUAUCCAUAUAUGAACCUUCAGUUUAUAUACAUCCUACUGGUUUGGUAAAAAGAUUGUGUAAGAAGAUGGAGUUCUU